GAUAACUUGAGGAAACUCAAGCUAAUACCGCAUACGCCCUACGGGGGAAAGCAGGGGCUCUUCGGACCUUGCGCUAUCGGAUGAGCUUAUGUCGGAUUANCUGGUUGGUGAGGUAACGGCUCACCAAGGCGACGAUCCGUAGCUGGUCUGAGAGGAUGAUCAGCCACAUCGGGACUGAGACACGGCCCGAACUCCUACGGGAGGCAGCAGUGGGGAAUAUUGGACAAUGGGGGCAACCCUGAUCCAGCCAUGCCGCGUGUGUGAAGAAGGCCCUCGGGUUGUAAAGCACUUUCAGCGAGGAAGAAUGCUUGUCGGUUAAUACCCGGCAAGGGANACAUCACUCGCAGAAGAAGCACCGGCUAACUCCGUGCCAGCAGCCGCGGUAAUACGGAGGGUGCGAGCGUUAAUCGGAAUUACUGGGCGUAAAGCGUGCGUAGGCGGCUUGAUAAGCCGGUUGUGAAAGCCCCGGGCUCAACCUGGGAACGGCAUCCGGAACUGUUAGGCUAGAGUGCAGGAGAGGAAGGUAGAAUUCCCGGUGUAGCGGUGAAAUGCGUAGAGAUCGGGAGGAAUACCAGUGGCGAAGGCGGCCUUCUGGACUGACACUGACGCUGAGGUACGAAAGCGUGGGUAGCAAACAGGAUUAGAUACCCUGGUAGUCCACGCCGUAAACGAUGUCGACUAGCCGUUGGGGUCCUCGAGACCUUUGUGGCGCAGUUAACGCACUAAGUCGACCGCCUGGGGAGUACGGCCGCAAGGUUAAAACUCANAUGAANUUGACGGGGGCCCGCACAAGCGGUGGAGCAUGUGGNUUUAAUUCGAUGCAACGCGAAGACCNUUACCUACCCUUGACAUCGUGCGAACUUCCAGAGAUGGAUUGGUGCCUCGGGAGCGCACAGACAGNGCUGCAUGGCUGUCGUCAGCUCGUGUUGUGAAAUGUUGGGUUAAGUCCGGUAACGAGCGCAACCCUUGUCCUAUUUGCC
This 980-nucleotide ribosomal RNA is filed under the name Halomonas elongata. Its description in RNAcentral is "bacterial SSU rRNA". It matches the Rfam family "Bacterial small subunit ribosomal RNA", at positions 142 to 1119 of the family's 1533-position model. Lineage: Bacteria; Pseudomonadati; Pseudomonadota; Gammaproteobacteria; Oceanospirillales; Halomonadaceae. The record is from RNAcentral.